GUGGGUAUAGCUCAGUCGGUUAGAGCGCCAGGUUGUGGCCCUGGAGGUCGCCCGUUCAAGUCGGGUUACCCACCCCA
RNAcentral lists this transfer RNA (77 nucleotides) under bacterium ADurb.Bin429. Its description in RNAcentral is "tRNA-His". It matches the Rfam family "tRNA". Rfam says of the family: Transfer RNA (tRNA) molecules are approximately 80 nucleotides in length. Their secondary structure includes four short double-helical elements and three loops (D, anti-codon, and T loops). The record is from RNAcentral. RNAcentral also lists the same sequence under 2 other names.